UCGUGGGCGGGGCAGUCGGGAGGGGCUUCGGGGGAAGUGACGUCACUCUGCCUUGCCUGCCUGCGUGGGCCGCCUGGCUCCUGGACUUGCUUUCUUGGGAAGGGAAGCCACCAUGGACUCUGCACAGGAAAGCUAUCUCUAUGGGACUGGAGUUCUUCACCUGAGGCAGAAAGAUGUUUUGGACCACCCCUGAUUACAUGGAAGAAAUGUGACAGUCUCUCAGUUCACCAUUCAACUGACAUGCUGAAAGAAAACAGAAGGAAAGUUGUGGGUCCAGUAACAGAAGCAAAAGCAGGUCACGGGUUAAAGGCUAGUCUGGAUGGGCCCUUAGUGUUCCUUCACUUUUGAAGUGAGACCAUGCCAUAUAUUAUGUGUGGAGAAUAAUCCAAUCCUAUCUGAUUUAUCCCACAGUUACAAGUCUAAACUACUGAUAGAUGCUGCACAUACAUACACAAAAUAUAAAGUCAUGCAUACACCAGGUAAAAGUAAGGAUUGGGAAUCUAUGUGGUUUCAAGAGGUGUUUGGAGCAACUGAAAUCUUGCUAUACUAGCAAGAACCACUAAACAAGGGCCCGGGCUGUGGCGCAGGCGGGAGAGCAAGCCAGCUGCAAUUAACUGCAACGAAUCACUCUGACCAGGAGGUCAUGAGUUCGAGGCCGCUCGGAGCCUAUGUUUGUUUGUCUUUGUUCUAUGUUAAAAGGCAUUGAAUGUUUGCCUAUAUGUGUAAUGUGAUCCGCCCUGAGUCCCCUUCGGGGUGAGAAGGGCGGAAUAUAAAUGCUGUAAAUAAAUAAAUAAAUAAAUAAACGGCUCCUAUAGAAAUGGGCAGUGAAGCUGCUACUAAUGGGAAACAUUCAUUUGAUGUAUGUGAUGGGGGAAUACUUAAUUAUAUCCAAACUAUGUGACCCCUUCUCCCUCUGGGCCAUCGAAACCUAGUAAACCCAAUUUAUAAUAAAUAAAGGAAUGAAAGGAGAACUAAAAUUCAGAUUGACUUGACUGCACACUCCCCAAAGACCCGUGGAACAAAAUUGUCUAGAAUUCAAUCAGUUUCCCUUUAUCUUUAAUUUUCUUUUCAGAUACUUACAUGGCACACAUUUUCAUUCUCAUCCAGGGGAGAAAGAUACAUUGUAAUUAUUGUAUUCUCUAGGUUUUUUUUUUUAUUUCUCCACUCAUCUCAAUACUCUGUGACUUGUAUGAGUAAAAAAAAUGAGAUCUCUAUUUUUCAUCCUGCAAUAGUUCAGUUUUUUCCUUAAAUAUUAUUUAUAAAUUGCAGACCUUCGUUGCCAGUGUGAUGUCUCUGCUUUUCAGUAUUUUAUCGAGGUUGGCCAUUGCUCUCCUCCCAAGAAGUAAGCGUCUUCUGAUUUCCUGGCUUCAGUCUGCAUCUGCAGUGAUCUUCGCAUCUAGAAAUAUAAAGUCUGUCACUGCCUCCACAUUUUCUCCCUCUAUUUGCCAGUUGUUAAUUGGGCUGGUUGCCAUGAUCUUGGUUUUCUUGAUGUUUAACUGCAGCCCGGCUUUUGCACUUUCUUCUUUCACCUUGGUGAUAAGGCUCCUCAGCUCUUCCUCACUUUCAGCCAUCAGAGUGGUAUCAUCUGCAUACCUAAUGUUGUUAAUGUUUCUUCCCGAAAUUACAGCCUUCCAUUCCCUUGGUUUUUACAUAUAUGAAUGGAGCAAAUGUAAAAAGGAAUUCCCACCCAUUUACUUUUCCAGAAUUGAAGAAUGCAGAGGGGGAACUACAAUUGCCGCAACUCUUCAGAACACCCCAAUAAGCUGAGGGAGGGCACAUCCAGACAAUGCCCAAAAAGUGCGCCCUCCCACGUUUUUAUGUGUGGCAUUCAAACAUUUUGUUUUGUGUCCAGGUGCCCUGCCAGAAAGUCUGGCAGGGCAUCUGGACACCCCUCCCCCAGAAAAGUGCAGGGUUUUUGACACAUGUGCGGACUCUAAUGCUCGAUUGGGCUCGCAUUGAAGUCUUGUGUGGAACCAACCAGAUAAAGAGGAUUUUCCUGGUUUGUUUGAAACUAUUGGGAUUCCAUCAAUACCAACAACAACAACAAUAAUAACUUUAUUUUUAUACCCCGCCUCUAUCUCCUGAAAGGGGACUCAAGGCGGCUUACAUGGGGCCAAGCCCGAAUAAAAAUAAUAGCAAUAUAAAACACUACAAUAGACAAGAGACACGCACAAUUAUAAAAAUUUAAACAUUACCCAAUAAAACAAAUGACAAAAACUGAUAAAAACAUGGAUUAAAAUGGAGAGGCUGUCAAAGUAGACUGGGUAAGGUGCACCAUAUAAAUAUUGUAAACACGAGGUGACUGAUAAAGUGCUGCAAAUUCUUGGAAGUGCAAAUUAGGAUGGGAGUAGACCAAGCAAGCAGAAAUACUGGACUCAAAUACUUGUGAUGCUGGAAGACAUUGUUAAGGUGAAACUUGAGAUGAGACUGGAGUUGGGAAUGCUCAAUGAUAAUUUAGAAAGAACAUUUGGGGGGAAAGCAACAAUAUAUGAUAACUACUGCAAGCAUUAUGUAUGCUCAGAGAUGGAAGGAACCAGUUAUUCCAACACAAGAAGAAUGGCUAAUGAAGAUCUGAAAAAUAGUGGAAAUUGAUAAAUUUACUAUGUUGAUUAAAGAGAAACCUCUAACUUUAAGAAAGAUGGGGACAAACUUACUAUUUUUUCAGCAUGAUCAGCAAUGGGAUGCAUGAAGUAGUAGAGUUUUACCUAAAAUUGAAGUAUGAUUAUAUUGUAACAAGGGACAGGGCUCCUGUACAUUUAAUGGUUAUCUAGAAUAGGAAGUUUAAGGGCCCUUCCAGACAGACCCUGUAUCCUAGGAUUAGAUCCUAGGUUUUCUGCUUUAAACUGGAUUAUAUGAGUCUCCGCUGCCAGAUAAUCUGGAAUAAACAGAAAACCUGGGAUCAAAACCUGGGAUAUAGGGCCUGUCUGGAAGGGCCUUCAGCUAAUGCAACUUUCAUGGAAACUAAAAUUCCCUCUCUGCGACUGUAUCCACACUACAGAAUUAUCGUAGUUUGGCACCACAUUAAUUGUCAAGGCUCAAUGCUAUAGAAUUCUGGGAUUUAUAGUUUGGUGAACCAUUUACCCUGCUCUGUCAGAAGGCUCAGGUGCUACAACAAACUACAAAUCCCAGGAUUCAGUAGGAUGGAUCCAUAACAGUUACAAUGGUGCCAAAUGGCUAUAAUUCUGCAGUGCUAAACAACUAUUAAAGCUCUCAUGUCACCUGACAACUCUUUGCCCAACAUGCCUUUUGGGUCAAUAAAAACAAUAAAGCUUAUAA
This is a long non-coding RNA of Anolis carolinensis (green anole), 3276 nucleotides long. RefSeq lists it as uncharacterized. The transcript is spliced from 2 exons. The record is from RefSeq and is a predicted model, not a curated record. NCBI's taxonomy places the organism in Eukaryota, Metazoa, Chordata, Lepidosauria, Squamata, Anolidae.